Molecule: ribosomal RNA, 506 nt
Filed under: uncultured bacterium
Lineage: Bacteria
Description: partial 16S ribosomal RNA
Rfam family: Bacterial small subunit ribosomal RNA
Source: RNAcentral
AGUGAACGCUGGCGGUAGGCCUAACACAUGCAAGUCGAACGGCAGCACAGGAGAGCUUGCUCUCUGGGUGGCGAGUGGCGGACGGGUGAGGAAUACAUCGGAAUCUACUUUUUCGUGGGGGAUAACGUAGGGAAACUUACGCUAAUACCGCAUACGACCUACGGGUGAAAGCAGGGGAUCUUCGGACCUUGCGCGAUUGAAUGAGCCGAUGUCGGAUUAGCUAGUUGGCGGGGUAAAGGCCCACCAAGGCGACGAUCCGUAGCUGGUCUGAGGGGAGGAUCAGCCACACGGGAACUGAUACACGGGCCAGGCUCCGACGGGAGGCAGCAGUGGGGAAUAUUGGACAAUGGGCGCAAGCCUGAUCCAGCCAUACCGGGUGGGUGAAGAAGGCCUUCGGGUUGUAAAGCCCUUUUGUUGGGAAAGAAAUCCAGCUGGUUAAUACCCGGUUGGGAUGACGGUACCCAAAGAAUAAGCACCGGCUAACUUCGUGCCAGCAGCCGCCGUAA